UAGGUGGGAGGCUUAGAAGUGUGGACGCCAGUCUGCAUGGAGCCGACCUUGAAAUACCACCCUUUAAUGUUUGAUGUUCUAACGUUGACCCGUAAUCCGGGUUGCGGACAGUGUCUGGUGGGUAGUUUGACUGGGGCGGUCUCCUCCUAAAGAGUAACGGAGGAGCACGAAGGUUGGCUAAUCCUGGUCGGACAUCAGGAGGUUAGUGCAAUGGCAUAAGCCAGCUUGACUGCGAGCGUGACGGCGCGAGCAGGUGCGAAAGCAGGUCAUAGUGAUCCGGUGGUUCUGAAUGGAAGGGCCAUCGCUCAACGGAUAAAAGGUACUCCGGGGAUAACAGGCUGAUACCGCCCAAGAGUUCAUAUCGACGGCGGUGUUUGGCACCUCGAUGUCGGCUCAUCACAUCCUGGGGCUGAAGUAGGUCCCAAGGGUAUGGCUGUUCGCCAUUUAAAGUGGUACGCGAGCUGGGUUUAGAACGUCGUGAGACAGUUCGGUCCCUAUCUGCCGUGGGCGCUGGAGAACUGAGGGGGGCUGCUCCUAGUACGAGAGGACCGGAGUGGACGCAUCACUGGUGUUCGGGUUGUCAUGCCAAUGGCACUGCCCGGUAGCUAAAUGCGGAAGAGAUAAGUGCUGAAAGCAUCUAAGCACGAAACUUGCCCCGAGAUGAGUU
RNAcentral lists this ribosomal RNA (667 nucleotides) under Escherichia coli. Its description in RNAcentral is "partial 23S ribosomal RNA". It matches the Rfam family "Bacterial large subunit ribosomal RNA", at positions 2144 to 2810 of the family's 2925-position model. The record is from RNAcentral. Lineage: Bacteria; Pseudomonadati; Pseudomonadota; Gammaproteobacteria; Enterobacterales; Enterobacteriaceae.